Molecule: long non-coding RNA, 750 nt
Filed under: Equus caballus (horse)
Lineage: Eukaryota; Metazoa; Chordata; Mammalia; Perissodactyla; Equidae
Description: lncRNA (ENSECAG00000051981.1)
Source: RNAcentral
AUCUGAUUAUUUUUACAAUUUAGAAGGGAAUAAAAGUAUUGGCUAAAAACAGAGCGGGCUCUAUCGGCUGGAACAUGCGGUCAGCAGGUUGUUCUUAGGGAAGCCUGGAAUAAUGCUGUGAGCAGGACACCCGUAAAUCACCGCGGGAGCGAGCAGAGUUGCGGGAUACUUCCGCUCCACCCUCGAGAUUCUGGCUCAGUCAACCCGGAAGGCAGCUCAGGCCUCCACACCCUGGGUUCCUCAGCGGAUGUAAUGCCCAGCCAGGAGGGAGUGUCACUGCUCCGCGUGAGGGUUAAACUGCCAUCACCUCGCUGUUUACUCCAAGGAAACUAGAGAAAGCGCAGAUCACCCUCAGAGCGAUAAACGUCCCUUGUCUCCAGGAGUUUUCUGUUCCAGUUCCCUUGGCCAGCAGAGCUUACACAACUGGGGCUCCAAUACCUCCUUAAAAUUACAGAAGAGACAUGUGCUCAAUCAGAAGGUUGGAUGUGUAAUGGAUGUCUGUUGAAAGGACUGAAGACAGAAAAACCUAUCCUAAUGAUACUCCAAACCAAAUAUGUGUCUUGCUUUCCAACAUCUACAAGCUCUAUUUUUGUUGAAAAAUAAAAUCAGUAAUCUCGUUAAUUCUUUCAACAGAUGCCCGUUCUACUUUUAGCUUUGAGAAACAGCCAGUCGGUCUUAUUAAAGACCACAGUGGAAAGGGAAUAUGAUUUCUUUGAUUAGCUAUGGAUGAGGAAGGAAACUGUGGCCCCC